Molecule: ribosomal RNA, 497 nt
Filed under: uncultured bacterium
Lineage: Bacteria
Description: partial 16S ribosomal RNA
Rfam family: Bacterial small subunit ribosomal RNA
Source: RNAcentral
GGCGAACGCUGGCGGCGUGCCUAAUACAUGCAAGUUGAGCGCUGAAGGUUGGUACUUGUACCAACUGGAUGAGCAGCGAACGGGUGAGUAACGCGUGGGGAAUCUGCCUUUGAGCGGGGGACAACAUUUGGAAACGAAUGCUAAUACCGCAUAAAAACUUUAAACACAAGUUUUAAGUUUGAAAGAUGCAAUUGCAUCACUCAAAGAUGAUCCCGCGUUGUAUUAGCUAGUUGGUGAGGUAAAGGCUCACCAAGGCGAUGAUACAUAGCCGACCUGAGAGGGUGAUCGGCCACAUUGGGACUGAGACACGGCCCAAACUCCUACGGGAGGCAGCAGUAGGGAAUCUUCGGCAAUGGACGAAAGUCUGACCGAGCAACGCCGCGUGAGUGAAGAAGGGUUUCGGAUCGUAAAACUCUGUUGGUAGAGAAGAACGUUGGUGAGAGUGGAAAGCUCAUCAAGUGACGGUAACUACCCAGAAAGGGACGGCUAACUACGUG